RNAcentral lists this ribosomal RNA (468 nucleotides) under uncultured bacterium. RNAcentral describes it as "partial 16S ribosomal RNA". It matches the Rfam family "Bacterial small subunit ribosomal RNA", at positions 28 to 507 of the family's 1533-position model. The record is from RNAcentral.
GACGAACGCUGGCGGCGUGCUUAACACAUGCAAGUCGAGCGGAAAGGGCCGGCUUUUGUGGGGUGCUCGAGUGGCGAGAGGGUGAGAAACACGUGAGUAACCUGCCCUUUAGUGUGGGAGAACUUCAGGAAACUGGGGCGAAUACCGGGUAGGAGCUCUUGCUGCAUGGGGGGUAUGGGAAAGAUUCGGCGGUUGGGGAUGGAAUCGUGGCUUAGCAGCUUGUUGGUGGGGUGGUGGCUUACCGAGGCUUUGACGGGUAGCCGGCCUGAGAGGGUGACCGGCCACAUUCGGCCUGAGGUAGCACCCAGAGUCAUACGUCAGGCAGCGGUGGAAAACAUACCACAAUACGCCGCAGCCGGAUGCAACAAUGCCGCGUACGGGAUGACGGCUUUCGGGUUGUAACCCGCUUUAGCCUGUGACGCUGCGCGAGUGACGGUAACGGGCCAAGAAGCAACGGCUAACUACGUG